AUUUGGUGAUGGUGGUGGAAUAAACAUAAAUUGAACAAUGUGCACAUGUAUGAACUAAUUCAUACACAAUGUUCAUGCCAAUAAUAGAUGUGUUUCUAACUGAGGUAAAACACUUCAUAUGUUAUUUAAUCCAAAUCAUUUAGAAAGAAAAGUAU
Molecule: non-coding RNA, 155 nt
Organism: Notechis scutatus (mainland tiger snake)
Lineage: Eukaryota; Metazoa; Chordata; Lepidosauria; Squamata; Elapidae
Source: RefSeq, a predicted model, not a curated record